This 253-nucleotide ribosomal RNA is filed under the name uncultured bacterium. RNAcentral describes it as "partial 16S ribosomal RNA". It matches the Rfam family "Bacterial small subunit ribosomal RNA", at positions 524 to 776 of the family's 1533-position model. The record is from RNAcentral.
UACGUAGGGUGCGAGCGUUAAUCGGAAUUACUGGGCGUAAAGCGUGCGCAGGCGGUUCGUUGUGUCGGCGGGGAAAGCCCCGGGCUCAACCUGGGAAUGGCCGUUGAAACUGGCGAACUGGAGUGUGGCAGAGGGGGGUGGAAUUCCGCGUGUAGCAGUGAAAUGCGUAGAGAUGUGGAGGAAUACCGAUGGCGAAGGCAGCCCCCUGGGCCAAUACUGACGCUCAUGCACGAAAGCGUGGGGAGCAAACAGG